Molecule: unclassified non-coding RNA, 1559 nt
Filed under: Leishmania donovani
Lineage: Eukaryota; Euglenozoa; Kinetoplastea; Trypanosomatida; Trypanosomatidae
Description: gene:unknown
Source: RNAcentral
AUAGGCAUACAGCACUGGUGGCCAUACACUAGCAGACACCCUCUCUCUCCGGACGAGUCCUUCAGUCUCACAAGCAGCGCGUAACAGUGGCAAGGAGACGCCACGGACACUCUCCAUCGCCUUUAUCCUGUGUGUAUGCUCGUUCCGAUCGCCUGUCUUUUUCGUUGCUCUCGUCACCACUCUCCCCUUCCUGUUUUUUUUUCUUUUGAGGGUGGGAGGGGGAGCAUUCUUUAUACGGCGGUGUUUGCCGUCGCGCACGAGUGUCUUUGUUUCACCGCACGUGCCAUCACGAUGCGCGCCUUCACGCAGCUACUCUGGUUGAUUUGGUUUCUCCGCAGCACGUCAACUGCGCACCCUGAAGUGGUGGCGAGCGCGCACAGCCGCUCAAUCUUUUUUUUUUUGGGCCCUUUGCGUUACUUGUUGUUUUUCUAUAGCGGUGGCUCCAUCACUGUGUCUCUGCCGGAUGCCUGGCACUCGUAUGGGAACUGGUGGAUGUCGUCGCUGAAGUCCAUCAUCCCAGAGAAGCUGCAUUUCGCGCAUGCUACGGGUAUGUCGAGACCUCGCCAGCGUCUUUUAUGACGCGUGUGGAGUGGCACCGCGCCCAUGACGUCGUCAAGCAAUUACUGGCCCGCCUCACGGUGGUGAGCAGAGCACUCGAGUGUCGCACCGGCACUUUGGCCGCCAUUUCGGUGACCUCGAGCAUGCCACUACCGAAUCUGUCGUACUGCUCCAGCGGUCGUGGGCAUGGUGCAUCACGCCCGAACAAGGCGCCCGGAGGCCGGGGGGCGGGGGAGCGCGCGUGAUGAGCGGCAAAGGCGCAGAAGUAUGCACACCGAUCAGCCCCACAGCGCAUGCGUGCGAAGUGUGCGGCGUCUCCUGCAUCCGAUCGGGGUGGGCUGAUGCGGCGCAGGUGCCGGAAGCGUCCGCGGAGCACCCCGAGCUACACCAUCGAGCUCUCCAGACUCCAUUGUACAGAGUCUCGACACUAUAUUAUGCAAUGCCGCGGCCUGAGGCGACUGAGGGUAAAGCAUGGCAUACGCAGGCAGGAUGUGCACGGCCUCAAAAGGCCCUGGCCGCUGCCCGCCCUGGUGCGUCUGGUGGCGGUGGCGCGGCGCGUAUCUGAGGAAGGGUGAGAAGUGCCCGUUACACGCGUGGCCCCGCUCGGCCGCUGGACUUUUUGUCCCGGGUGUCGAUGUCGCAGCCGUAUGCCUGCGAAGGAAGGUGAUCUGCGGUGGCGUUUGCGUACACUUUUUCUGGCUUGUGCGUGGUGGAAUGGGCACACGCUGGGAGCACGAAAGAAACGUCGCUGUAGCACAAGUCAGAGGCUGGCAUGCAACGGGAAAAUAAAAGCGAAACGCUCAAAGUCCGGAAUACCUUCUUUUCGCCCAUGUGCCACUGCGUCGAUGCUGUUGUUCAGUGCAUCUUGUUUCUCUCUCUCUCCUUCUCUCGCCUGUUGUAGUGUCGAGCUCGUGGUGGUUAUCCUGUGCUCGCAGACCUGAUGGCGCGAUCGGAAGAAGCGCAGCGCGUUUUGCUUGCCUGUGGCGGAGCAUCAUGCUUUG